This 463-nucleotide ribosomal RNA is filed under the name uncultured Sneathiella sp. RNAcentral describes it as "bacterial SSU rRNA". It matches the Rfam family "Bacterial small subunit ribosomal RNA", at positions 99 to 597 of the family's 1533-position model. The record is from RNAcentral. Lineage: Bacteria; Pseudomonadati; Pseudomonadota; Alphaproteobacteria; Sneathiellales; Sneathiellaceae.
CGCACGGGUGAGUAACGCGUGGGGAUCUGCCCUUUGGUACGGGAUAACGUUUGGAAACGAACGCUAAUACCGUAUGUGUUCUACGGAACAAAGAUUUAUCGCCAAAGGAUGAACCCGCGUAGGAUUAGGUAGUUGGUGGGGUAAUGGCCUACCAAGCCGACGAUCUUUAGCUGGUCUGAGAGGACGAUCAGCCACACUGGAACUGAGACACGGUCCAGACUCCUACGGGAGGCAGCAGUGAGGAAUAUUGGACAAUGGGCGCAAGCCUGAUCCAGCCAUGCCGCGUGAGUGAAGAAGGCCCUAGGGUUGUAAAGCUCUUUCGCCAGGGAAGAUAAUGACGGUACCUGGUAAAGAAGUCCCGGCUAACUCCGUGCCAGCAGCCGCGGUAAUACGGAGGGGACUAGCGUUGUUCGGAAUUACUGGGCGUAAAGAGUACGUAGGCUGUCAGUCAAGUUGGGUGUGA